RNAcentral lists this ribosomal RNA (352 nucleotides) under uncultured bacterium. RNAcentral describes it as "bacterial SSU rRNA". It matches the Rfam family "Bacterial small subunit ribosomal RNA", at positions 48 to 392 of the family's 1533-position model. The record is from RNAcentral.
CGGCCGCGUCGACAGAACGCUGAAGAGAGGAGCUUGCUCUUCUUGGAUGAGUUGCGAACGGGUGAGUAACGCGUAGGUAACCUGCCUUGUAGCGGGGGAUAACUAUUGGAAACGAUAGCUAAUACCGCAUAACAAUGGAUGACACAUGUCAUUUAUUUGAAAGGGGCAAUUGUUCCACUACAAGAUGGACCUGCGUUGUAUUAGCUAGUAGGUGAGGUAAUGGCUCACCUAGGCUACGAUCCGUAACUGGUCUGAGAGGAUGAUCAGUCACACUGGAACUGAGACACGGUCCAGACUCCUACGGGAGGCAGCAGUGGGGAAUAUUGGACAAUGGGCGAAAGCCUGAUCCAGC